Molecule: small nucleolar RNA, 122 nt
Filed under: Castor canadensis (American beaver)
Lineage: Eukaryota; Metazoa; Chordata; Mammalia; Rodentia; Castoridae
Description: Small nucleolar RNA SNORA26 (ENSCCNG00000012439.1)
Rfam family: Small nucleolar RNA SNORA26
About the family: The snoRNA HBI-6 belong to the H/ACA family of snoRNAs, guiding the pseudouridylation of position U4522 if the 28S rRNA. HBI-6 is the human orthologue of mouse MBI-6 snoRNA.
Source: Rfam by way of RNAcentral
GUGCCCUGUUAAGGUUGACGCAGUGCCUUGAGAGGCUAACACAGAAGGGUAAAGGAAAUCUCCAUAAAACCCAGAGAAGAGCUUGUAAAACUCCUCCCUGGAUCCUGUCUGGAGUCACAGCU